UAGGGAAUAUUAGUAAUGGGCGAAAGCCUGAACUAGCAACGCCGCGUGUGCGAAGAAGGCCUUCGGGUUGUAAAGCACUUUUUGAGAGGAUGAGGAAGGACGGUACUCUCAGAAUAAGUCUCGGCUAACUACGUGCCAGCAGCCGCGGUAACACGUAGGAGGCAAACGUUAUCCGGAUUUACUGGGCGUGAAGCGCGUGUAGGUGGUUUGGUAAGUAGGGCGUGAAAGCUCCUGGCUCAACUGGGAGAGGCCGUUCUAAACUGCCGAACUAGAGGAUGGUAGAGGGAGGUGGAAUUCCGGGUGUAGCGGUGGAACGCGCAGAUAUCCGGAGGAACACCAGUGGCGAAAGCGGCCUCCUGGACCAUUCCUGACACUCAGACGCGAAAGCUAGGGUAGCAAACGG
RNAcentral lists this ribosomal RNA (403 nucleotides) under uncultured bacterium. Its description in RNAcentral is "bacterial SSU rRNA". It matches the Rfam family "Bacterial small subunit ribosomal RNA", at positions 355 to 775 of the family's 1533-position model. The record is from RNAcentral.